GACGAACGCUGGCGGCGUGCCUAACACAUGCAAGUCGAACGAUGAAGCAAAGAAUUGAAGCUUCGGCAGAAAUCCACUUCGGAUUAGUGGCAGACGGGUGAGUAACGCGUGAGCAACCGACCUCUUACAAAGGGCUAGCCCCGGGAAACCGGGAUUAAUACCAUAUAAUAUUGCGACGAAGCAAUUCGAUGCAAUCAAAGCUACGGCGGUAAGAGAUGGGCUCGCGUCCCAUUAACCAGAUGGUGAGGUAACGGCACACCAUAGUAACGACGGGUAACCGGCCAGGAAGAGUGAACCGACACACUGAAACUGAGACACGGUCCAGACUCCUACGGAAGGCAGCAAAGGGGAAUAUUGCACAAUGGAGGGAACUCUGAUGCAGCGACGCCGCGUGAGUGAUGAAGGAAUUCGUGACGUAAAUCUCUGUUCUAUGAGAAGAAAAUGACGGUACCUUAGGAGAAAGCUCCGGCUAAAUACGUG
Molecule: ribosomal RNA, 480 nt
Filed under: uncultured bacterium
Lineage: Bacteria
Description: partial 16S ribosomal RNA
Rfam family: Bacterial small subunit ribosomal RNA
Source: RNAcentral